AUUUACGGGCGGCUCGCCACGCAGACGAGCGUCUCUUUGCGGAUUCUUGGGCUUCCACCGAUAUUAUUAGCGAUCGCGUCCUCUUUUUGAUCCUGGCAGAAGGACGGGGGAAGGCUCCUUCCCUUGCGGCCGUCGAGAGAGUGCUGGACACGGCGGGUGGUUUUUUUCGUGGCCGCGUAUAAUGCGCUCGAUAGAAGUUGCUUGCUCGAAAUCCUUCGAACCCUUUUUCCCUUGUUAGGGCCAGCUCCAGGUCCAGGCUCGAACGAGUACGCAUCGAAGGGACCGCGAAUUUAUUUCUUCUGGCGUAGGCAUUCGCCGCGUUUCCCAUCCACCGAACAGACGCUACGACGACAACGACGAUGACGUGCGGUUUAAUGAUAUGCAGCAUUCAGAAUGAUCGUCGUACCAUGCCAUGCUUCUCACCCCGGUGUCGCUGGAUCGACCGACGAUGAGAGAGAAAGAGAAACUAUCACGGGACCGUGAAGGAAGAAAAAGGGGAUGGGAGAAGAACCAUAAAGCGUCGCAGGGCCCUGGUACUGCUUUUCGCUGCUACGGCUAACUACGCAGUCUAUAUAGAUCGAUAUAAUUAAUAGCUCCGGCAUGGAUCGGGUAACAUAUGGCUCGGGACACGUUCGAAGAACGGAGAAGGACAGAAAACUCGGGGACAGCAGAGUGGAGAGAGGAGAAAAGACUCGGGGCACAUCGAACUCUUGGACCGCGCUGCAUUCAAAGGGAUUAGAGGCGAAUAAACGAACACCGCGAGGUGUUCUCGUGCAAGCGAAAAAAAACGACAGCGGCAUGCUAAUUCCUACCUGGUGGCGUCCUCAAGGUCCAAGGAGGAGCCUACCAGUUCGCCUGUUCGUCACACUAUUUUCGGUGUGAGUUUAAUAUUGACCCGGCGAGAUUAGGUGCGAGCCAGGUUUGGAUUAAACGAAGCGACGGCUUUCUUGAUCAUUCGUGAAGAAGUUAAGGGUUUGGUUUCGUUUAACGUUUGGAGAAGUUGAGAGAAAAUUGAGGAUAUCUGUGAAGGGUGAGUUUCCUAUGCGAUUAGAUUGUUUUAAGGAGGACAGCGAUGAGGAGGAAGAAGAAUUAGAAGAAGAAACGGUGACUUGGAUUACGUAUUCCUUCUUUUAACAUAUGUCAUAGACGAUCAAAUUUUUAGGCAGAAUUUUAUUCCUAGUUAUCGGUGUUGUAUUUCUCUAAUUGUGAUCGCAAAUUUCUAGAUUUCGACGAUUCUAAUUUGUCAGAAACGAAGCACGUACAGAGAGCAACCGAAUGAGUAUCGAGGAAUCGAAUGAGUAUUGAUACUCACGGAUAGAACCAACAAAAAAUAUACGACAGGGCAGAACAAAAAAUUCUUUCUGUUCCAAUUUCCAUCCCCCGCUAUUCGAUACGAUAAAUUCAAGCAGCGAUAGGGAUACCACAGUAAUAUCCAUUAAAAGUAACCUAAAUAGAACACACAACCAUAUAUAUAAGUGCACGCGUACUCUCUACAUUCUCAACAAUAAUUUAUCGAAGAAUAAAGCUUCCGUAAAGAACAUCACUUUGUAUUUCCGACCUAUUUUCCCCAUAAAUUCGUCCUUUCUCAAGUUGGUAGCAUCAAUUGAAAAAUACCCUGUAUAUCGCAUACGUAGAAUUUCCAUGUGAAUUGCCAUCGAUGGACAAAGAACGAAAGAAAGAUGCCAGUUCAACCCUCUAGUGGAGAUAUCAUUUGCAUUCCCUCGUCGACAAGGCCACGUGGCCACACCGUGCACACGGCCUUUUUCGCACCCCGCGCUCGCGCGAGUAAACGGCGCUCGUUUUGCAUAAUUUCACGAAUCGCGCGUAUAAUCGUUCCCCGCCGGUACAAAACGCAGCGGCAUUUUGUGUCGUACUCGCGCGACCCUGGCCUCUUCCGUAUUAGCAUAAGCUUUUCGAAAUGACGCAGAAAGAGCGACACGUGACCCGUCACAAGCCGGAAGGACCAGGCCCUCGAAAACGAAAGGUUUCAGGCGUCAUGAAUUUCUGAACCAACUCCGUUCUUUUCUUCCUCGUCCCUCGAAUUACCUCCCCACUGUCGAUUGUCGAUGUAUCAAAAUUUUGUCGAGCUAUGAGACAUAUAGGAGGAAGCUGAAGAACGUUUUCUAAGGGACACGUGGCAGACAGAGAGAGAGAGAGAGAGAGAGGGAGGGAGAGUCGCCUUGAACUUUUACACGAGCACGAGCCACGCUAUUAUUAUGGUAGCAGACGAUACACCGAUGUAAAUAAAUUUUAUAUGUGGGUUCUGAAGGAAUCAGUUGGAGAUUUGAAAUAGGUUGUGUUGCAUUUGUAUGUUGAUGAAGUUGUUUGAGAUUCAGGAGAUCUAUGAAGUGGCUGAUGGGGUGGUGCGUUGAUUUGAAUAUGCGGAUUUGUCUAUUGGCUGAUGAUUUUUAAAUAAUAGGUACUAGUGAGUACUAAUGAGUACUAAUAACAGGUAAUAAUGAGUACUUGUGUAGGUAAAUUUGUUAUGUUUCUUUCUUACGAAGCUUGUAAUGAAUUCGCGGCUAUAUGGUAUAUAAGCUUUUUACUAUAAGUAGGAUGAUUUAAGAAGGAAAUGAUUUAGUGAGAAGAUUUUUAUCUUUGUGAUUGUAAUAACACGCGAGCUUACGUCGAUGGUAACUACGUAAUUAUGGAUCGAAUAAUCAGAAAUAUUAUAACUCGAACUCUUUGCAAUAUGUUUUAUAGUAAUGCAGAUUUCGUAAUGUACGCAAUUUCAUAAUGAGUAGGAAAUAGACAUAAGUAUCUCAACAAGAUGUAACCAUCGAUCAAACUUACUCGCGAUUAAAAUGUUGGUCAAAGUUUUAAAUUUAACCUAGCUACGCGCGUAUAACUAUUCUUUUUUUAGCUGUAACUUUCACUAUUCACCUUCACGAUAAUGAUUUAAUUGUCUCUCGCGUAUCCAUAUACGGUAGAGUAGUUGGAAGAAAAUGAAUAUGUAUUGCUUUGCUAUCUGAUAAUUGAUAAUUUAUACCUGAGGAUUCACGAUGAAAUAGAAACUUCUUACAUAAUAAUUGGCGAAAUAGAUGUUAAAAUAAUCAAUCUACGAAA
Molecule: long non-coding RNA, 3066 nt
Organism: Bombus impatiens (common eastern bumble bee)
Lineage: Eukaryota; Metazoa; Arthropoda; Insecta; Hymenoptera; Apidae
Exons: 2
Source: RefSeq, a predicted model, not a curated record